Long non-coding RNA from Triplophysa dalaica, 1610 nucleotides. RefSeq lists it as uncharacterized. The record is from RefSeq and is a predicted model, not a curated record. NCBI's taxonomy places the organism in Eukaryota, Metazoa, Chordata, Actinopteri, Cypriniformes, Nemacheilidae. The transcript has 4 exons.
AUGGAUAUGACGCCAUUGAUAUGCGACUCCACAUCGCCGUGUCACUUUUAAGAAUGGCGAAUUGGAAAGAAAGAAUUUGGAAACAUUUGAGAUAUUGUGAGUACUCAGCAGAACAAAAUAUAUACACUGUAACGAAUUGCUGUAAAAACUACAGCGUUAUUUUACAGAAGCUGACUGUAUUUUAAAUAAUACAGAAUAUUGCUGUAAAGUGCAAUGCAUUCUGGGGUCACGUGACGGAUUAACUCAAUGUACAGAAUAUUGCUGUAAAUUUCAAAUCUACAAUGGCGGGAUGAUCUUCAACAGUCGAGAUUGGGGUAGUGCGCAAAAUGAAUGAUUCACACCUGUGGUAAGUAACUUAUUACGUAUUUUUUUUCCAUAUUUGGUAACUAUCAUACUGGUAACUUUAUAUAGAGGUAUCUAAAUUCGCGGUUCAUAUUGCUAACCCCGGAUUCAACCUCCAUCCGCGGGGACCGAAGGAGUCUUGCGGGGUUUCAGCAGCGCCGUCGCGGUAAGAUUUCAAACAUUCUCCGUCGCUAUAGCACCUGAGGACAGAAGUUGUUCAUGUUAUUUAGAGUUUUUGUUCACACAAGGAGUGAAGGCGGUAUGUGACGAGCUACAGUUCAUUGUUUUAGUUAGUUGACGAUUGUUUUUUAAAUGUUGAACAACGCGCCCGCCGUAGACUCGGUAAAAGUUACAUGCUUCGACAGUUGGGAUACCACACUCGCUCGUGAUUAUUUUGUGGUGUAAUUCAAAUUUGCAAAUGCAGUCAUCCGUUAAAUCGAGCGCCCAAAUUAAAAUGAGUCACCAUAGCUUGAGGACACACUUUGCCAUGCAGGCCACUGGAUGCUGACUACUGAAGGUUAGGUUGUGUGUGACGGUGCUCAGCACAGCUUCAUGUCUGGCCUUCCCACUCUGUUCAUAGCAUGUUACAUAUCCAGUCUUGAGUACCAGGAUGGGGCAGCGUGUACUUGGAGUCCAAUGAAAGAUAUUAAUCCAGAGAGUGGAACAAGCAGCGUCAUCUAAAAUGCCAGGAUACAGAAGAAACAGGUUGCAGUGAACCCACAUGUCGCCGCUCUUCUAAACACAAUGAUGAAUAUUCAGUGUAAUCGAUGAAAAUUCCAGCUACUUGUUGUGCUCUGAUGGAUCAAGAUGUGGACCGUUUUACAGACUCACUUGGGCCUUGUUUUGCAAUGUUGUUUCAUGAUGGUAAUGUUGGUUAACGUGUUGUUUAAACAUUAAUGUUUAAAGAGCCAUGUUGGAUACUAUGAAGUUCUUACUGAAUAAAAUUAUUUCAUGUACAACAACGUACACAAUUUGUCUGUAAUGUAUUUUUGUAUCAAUUAAAAAAAAAUAAACACUGUAUAUCCAGUAUGCAAAACAUACUGGAUAUACAGUGAUUUAUGUAUUUCUUCUAAAUAAAGUAAAUUAAAAUCAAGCAAUUUGCUGUAAAAAAUACAGCAUUAUACUGUUGCUAUUCAAAAUUACAGUUUUUCCUGUAUUCUGCAAUUACAGUAAAUGGCUGUAAAUUAAAUUACAGUACUGUGGCUGUACAAUUUACAGUAACUGGCUGGCAACCCUGCUGCCAGUAGUUUACUGUAAAUUUUACAGGA